RNAcentral lists this ribosomal RNA (576 nucleotides) under Salmonella enterica. RNAcentral describes it as "partial 23S ribosomal RNA". It matches the Rfam family "Bacterial large subunit ribosomal RNA", at positions 2227 to 2802 of the family's 2925-position model. Lineage: Bacteria; Pseudomonadati; Pseudomonadota; Gammaproteobacteria; Enterobacterales; Enterobacteriaceae. RNAcentral also lists the same sequence under 2 other names. The record is from RNAcentral.
GUGGACCCGUAAUCCGGGUUGCGGACAGUGUCUGGUGGGUAGUUUGACUGGGGCGGUCUCCUCCUAAAGAGUAACGGAGGAGCACGAAGGUUGGCUAAUCCUGGUCGGACAUCAGGAGGUUAGUGCAAUGGCAUAAGCCAGCUUGACUGCGAGCGUGACGGCGCGAGCAGGUGCGAAAGCAGGUCAUAGUGAUCCGGUGGUUCUGAAUGGAAGGGCCAUCGCUCAACGGAUAAAAGGUACUCCGGGGAUAACAGGCUGAUACCGCCCAAGAGUUCAUAUCGACGGCGGUGUUUGGCACCUCGAUGUCGGCUCAUCACAUCCUGGGGCUGAAGUAGGUCCCAAGGGUAUGGCUGUUCGCCAUUUAAAGUGGUACGCGAGCUGGGUUUAGAACGUCGUGAGACAGUUCGGUCCCUAUCUGCCGUGGGCGCUGGAGAACUGAGGGGGGCUGCUCCUAGUACGAGAGGACCGGAGUGGACGCAUCACUGGUGUUCGGGUUGUCAUGCCAAUGGCACUGCCCGGUAGCUAAAUGCGGAAGAGAUAAGUGCUGAAAGCAUCUAAGCACGAAACUUGCCCCGA